GCAGGUGUAGUUCAAUGGUAGAACUUCAGCCUUCCAAGCUGACUAUGAGGGUUCGAUUCCCUUCACCUGCUCCA
Molecule: transfer RNA, 74 nt
Filed under: bacterium
Lineage: Bacteria
Also listed under: 1 other name
Description: tRNA-Gly
Rfam family: tRNA
About the family: Transfer RNA (tRNA) molecules are approximately 80 nucleotides in length. Their secondary structure includes four short double-helical elements and three loops (D, anti-codon, and T loops).
Source: RNAcentral